This is an RNA transcript of Podarcis muralis (Common wall lizard), 3249 nucleotides long. It is a transcript of the gene named acid-sensing ion channel 2, with no coding region annotated. Lineage: Eukaryota; Metazoa; Chordata; Lepidosauria; Squamata; Lacertidae. The record is from RefSeq and is a predicted model, not a curated record.
UAGCGGAUGGGUUGCAAGCAGCUUGGACUGCUCCCCUUUAAAUGCGCACACACCACACACACACACACACUCUCUCACACACUGGUAAUCUCAUCACUAGCUCUGUGUGUGUGUGUGUGUGAGAGAGAGAGAGAGAACGGGAAGGGGGAGGGCUUUGUUUCCAUUGGCUGCUCCUUGCCUUCCCACCCACAUCUCUUCCACAUCACCUUGGUGUCUCCCUAAAUAAAACCAGCCCUCCUUAUCGCAGCGAGGAAAUCAAGCGGUAGAGUUGCAAUGGAUUUUAAAUAAACAUUUUACCCCCCCUCCCCACACACACUGUCCCUGCCAGGCUGCUGGGGAGAGCACGCAGCAAGCACCUUCCCCACUGCCACCCAAACACUCACAUGCAGCUGCCCUGCUUGCUGGCUGCUUCUGUUGCCUCUUUCACCCCAUGAGGGAAAGCUGGAGUGCACGAGAAACUGGCUGCAGUCAGAGGAGGGAAGUGGCACCUUCAUGACCAAUCCUUUCUCCAUGGAUUUAAAGGAGAGCACCAGCGAGGGAAGCCUGGGGAGCCUCCAGCCCUCCAGCCUCCAGAUCUUUGCCAACACCUCAACCCUCCAUGGAAUCCGCCACAUCUUUGUCUAUGGACCUAUGACUGUGCGGCGGGCCCUGUGGGCUCUGGUGUUUGUGGCUUCCCUGGGCCUUCUCCUGGUGGAGAGCUCCGAACGGCUGGUCUACUACUUCUCCUACCAGCAUGUCACCAGAGUGGAUGAGGUCGUUGCCCACAGCCUGGUCUUCCCAGCUGUUACCAUCUGCAACCUCAACGGGUUCCGCUUCUCCCGCCUCACUACCAAUGACCUGUACCAUGCUGGCGACCUAUUGGCCUUGUUGGAUGUCAACCUCCAGGUCCUUCACCCUCAUCUCGCUGACCCAGCAGUCCUGGCCAUCCUGCGAGAGAAGGCCAACUUCCAGCAUCACCGAGCCAAAGUCUUCAGCAUGAGUGAGUUCAUGGGACGUGUGGGCCAUGACAUGAAGGAGAUGUUGUUAUACUGCAAGUUCCGGGGGCAGGAGUGUGGCGAGAAGAACUUCACAACUGUGUUUACGAAAUAUGGGAAGUGCUACAUGUUUAACUCAGGAGAAGAUGGGCAUCCUCUGUUGACCACAUUCAAGGGUGGGACAGGCAAUGGCCUGGAGAUAAUGCUGGACAUUCAGCAGGAUGAGUACUUGCCAAUAUGGGGAGAAACAGAUGAAACAACAUUUGAAGCAGGAGUCAAAGUCCAGAUCCACAGUCAGUCUGAGCCGCCGUUUGUUCAGGAACUUGGGUUUGGCGUGGCGCCUGGGUUCCAGACUUUUGUAGCCACGCAAGAGCAAAGGCUGACGUACCUUCCACCUCCAUGGGGUGAGUGCCGCUCCUCAGACUUUGGCCUGGACUUCUUUCCCAUCUACAGCAUCACUGCGUGCAGGAUAGAUUGUGAGACCCGCUACGUGGUGGAAAAUUGCAACUGCAGAAUGGUCCACAUGCCAGGAGAUGCUCCGUUCUGCACGCCGGAGCAGUAUAAAGAGUGUGCAGAGCCUGCGCUAGUGGUUCUUGGUGAAAAGGACAGCAGUUACUGUGUGUGCCAAAUGCCGUGCAAUUUGACGCGCUACAACAAGGAACUCUCCAUGGUGAAGAUCCCCAGCAAGACCUCAGCCAAGUACCUGGAGAAAAAGUUCAACAAGUCAGAGAAAUACAUCUCGGAGAAUAUUCUUGUGCUCGAUAUAUUCUUUGAAGCCCUCAACUAUGAGACCAUUGAGCAGAAGAAAGCAUAUGAAGUGGCAGCUUUACUUGGUGAUAUUGGAGGUCAGAUGGGCCUUUUUAUUGGUGCUAGUAUCCUCACCAUUCUGGAAAUAUUUGACUACAUCUAUGAGCUGAUCAAGGAGAAGUUGUUAGAUCUUCUUGGCCAGGAAGAGGAGGAAGGAAGCCACGAUGAGAAUGUGAUGGAGAGCUGAGACUGAAGGAAGAAUUGGUUGCCUAAGGCCACCUAGUGAGUUCAUGACUGAGGUCAGUUGUUUAGAAGGGAAUGUCUGGACAAAAUGAAAACUGCUUGCCUCUCAUGUUGCUUAAGCUAGAAAGUCUACAGAUAAUGUGCCAUUGUGGGACAAGGUGUGCUGGCACAUCAUAAAUACUCAUUGGAAGAUGCACAAUGUAUCAGGGAGCAGUUCCAGGAAUAAAAGGCUAUUUGAUCUAUUUCCAAAGAGACCUCUGGCCUGAACAGCUUUUAAGGGUUGUGGGGGAAGGAUUGCAGCAGGAAGCAGCUAAGGUGGGUAGAUUGUCUACAGUUAAUUUCCUAGUAAAGAUGACACAUAUUCCUCAUAGAAUGCCCAGAAGAAUAGAGGAAAAGUGGAAGAGAAGGGGCUUGUGAAAUAGGUAUAUAUGAAUUUGGUUUGUGCAUUGUGUCUAACCAGCUGUGGAAAGAGCAAGCUUCUCUAAUGCAGGUAAUUUAACAAUUGCAAAAGAGCUAGUAGGAAAAUGAACAGUGCAAUUCCAUCCCUGUCUACUCAAAAGCCCCACUGAGUUCAAUGAGGCUUUCUCCCCUAUGCAAGGGAAUAGGAUGUGCAGCCUAAGUGCAUAGCAUUUCUGUAUCUAGUAGGUCUUUUUUCAAGCUACAAUUAGCUUCCAGGUCUUAAGCCCUAAACCUCAGCAAAACAUGCCCAAGAACUACACACAACAUGCCUUAAAGAGUUUCCUGCAGCUUCAGCAAAGCUGAAACACCCUUUCACCAAGAAUGCCUCCCGCCACCUCCAUUUAUUUAUUUGAAAACUAUGUAAAUACUACCUAAUGUUUUGAAGCUGUGUGUGACACAAAACUAGGAAGCACAAUCAAAACAAUAGAUCUGUAUAAAGACACAAAGCAAAAUAGGAAUACGUAUGCAAUCCCAGCUGAUGGGCUGUGUUGUGUGCAAGUAAGGUCUGUGGUCAGCACAUUGCCUUUAUGAACAAAACAUGUUUCCAGCACGUGGCGAAAAGGUAGUACGUUUUUUAUAUGGGGGAGGCUGUUCCAAAGGGUAGGUGUGUCAUUUCUGUAAAAGGCCUCUUACAAGUGAAUUCAAAGUGGAACAUUGACACUGUGGUGCCACCAAGAGGAUUUCAACUGCUUAUCUCUGUUGAAGGUAUGUAGGAUUUUGCCAAAGAGUGUUUGAUGAAUUGCCGUUUCUUGCUCCUUUUAAAAAACGAACCCAGAUGCAACAUAGCAAUAUAUAAUAAAGAACCUCUGCACAUAUAAGUGCUUUC